GACGAACGCUGGCGGCGUGCUUAACACAUGCAAGUCGAACGGAAAGGCCCUGCUUUUGUGGGGUGCUCGAGUGGCGAACGGGUGAGUAACACGUGAGUAACCUGUCCUUGUCUUUGGGAUAACUUCAGGAAACUGGGGCUAAUACCGGAUAGGAGCUCCUGCUGCAUGGUGGGGGUUGGAAAGUUUCGGCGGUUGGGGAUGGACUCGCGGCUUAUCAGCUUGUUGGUGGGGUAGUGGCUUACCAAGGCUUUGACGGGUAGCCGGCCUGAGAGGGGGACCGGCCACAUGGGGACUGAGGUACGGCCCAGACUCCUACGGGAGGCAGCAGGGGGGAAUAUUGCACAGUGGGCGGAAGCCUGAUGCAGCGACGCCGCGUGCGGGAUGACGGCCUUCGGGUGGUAAACCGCUUUCGCCUGUGACGAAGCGUGAGUGACGGUAAUGGGUAAAGAAGCACCGGCUAACUACGUG
Molecule: ribosomal RNA, 468 nt
Filed under: uncultured bacterium
Lineage: Bacteria
Description: partial 16S ribosomal RNA
Rfam family: Bacterial small subunit ribosomal RNA
Source: RNAcentral